Long non-coding RNA from Homo sapiens (human), 5952 nucleotides. RefSeq lists it as uncharacterized. NCBI's taxonomy places the organism in Eukaryota, Metazoa, Chordata, Mammalia, Primates, Hominidae. The record is from RefSeq and is a predicted model, not a curated record. The transcript is spliced from 2 exons.
ACACAUACCAACCAGCAGGCCACAGGAAAAGGGCUCCCCUUGCCAAAUAAUUUUGCCCAGUCCUCCUCUCACACAGGGGAAGCAAAAACCGAUCCAUUAGCUUGGUUGUCUGGGAGUCCCAGAACUCCUCAAAACAGAUCCAUCAGUUGAAAGCAUAAAUAUUUACUUUGGGCUCAUCUGAAUAACCCAGAACAGGGACUCUGUUUUUUAUCAGUAAUAAAAAACACUCCCACCUAAAGUGGGAUUUAGAGCUUUUUGUCUUUCAAUCUUGCCUGCCUAGAAUCACUCAAACUUUCUGUGAGAGACUAUAUCAGGAUUUCCUCAUGGCCUCCAAGCGGGGCUGGGGGCCGGGGGUGCACAUGAGCACAAAAGGAAUGCUCUCACAGGGGAGCUGUGUUUUCUUUUACUGUGAAAAGUAUGUGUGGCCUCAGCCUGGCUCCUAGUACACAGGUAACUGAAAUAUUUGCCCUUGGGAGAGAAAGCGCAGAAUGUUCUCUUAAAAUGCUCCAACUGGUGAAAUAAGAGAUUUUAGAUAAACAGCUUUUGAGGGACCCCAUUUCCUGAGCUAUGCUUUGAUCACAUGACAACAGCGCCAGCGAAAACACUUUGUUAUCCUUUCAAGGGAGAUGUUCGAGAAAGAACUUCUGCCUGGGUCAUGGAGGUUGAAACCAAAUCCUGAGUGAUGGUAUUAGACGGCCUUUGAGAGGUGAUAAGGUCAUGAGGAUGACCUUCAUGAAUAGAAUUAGUACUCUUAUAAAAGAGAUCUCAGAGAGACUCCUCAUCCCUUCCAACAGAUGAAGUUACAGUGAGAAGACAGCAUCUACGAUGAACUGGGCCCUCAUCAGACCCCAAAUUUUUCACGCCCAAAUCUUGGACUUCACAGCCUCCGGAACUAUGAGAAAUAAUAUUUCUGUUGUUUCUAAACCACUCAGUCUAUCAUAUUCUAUUACAGCAACCUGAACAAUAUAAGACAGAAAAUUGGGACAGGAAGUAGUGUGAUGCUGCAACAAAUAUCUAAAAAUGUGGAAGUGGUUUGAGAACAGGGUGAUGGGUAGACUAGAAGAGGUUUGAGGUGCAUGCUAGAAAAAGCUUACAUUAGCAUGAAGGGAAUUUAAAGGCAAUCCUGGUGAGCCUUCAGAAAAAAAAAAAAAAAGGAGAGCUGCAGAGAAAACCUCAAUCUUCCUUUAGAAUAUCUAAGUAGGCUGGAUGUGGUGGCUCACACCUGUAAUCCCAGCACUUUGGGAGGCCGAGGAGGGGGGAUCACUUGAGGUCAGGAGUUCAAGACCAGCCUGGCCAACAUGGUAAAACCUCAUCUCUACCAAAAAAAAAAAAAUUACAAAAAUUUGCUAUGCAUGUUGACACAUGCCUGUAGUCCCAGCUACUAGGGAGGUUGAAGCAGGAGAAUUGCUUGAACCUGGGAGGUGGAGGUUGCAGUGAGCUGAGAUCAUACCUUUGUACUGCAGCCUGGGUGAGACCCUGUCCAAAAAAAAAAAAAUCUAAGUAAUCCUGAGUAGAGCCUUUGGUGGAAAUAUGGAUAGUAAAGACCACUCUGAUAGAUCUCAGAUAGAAGUCAGAAGCAUGUUAUUGGACAACGAAGGAGAGAUCGUCUUUCUUAUAAAGUGCCAAGUAAGUAUGCUGUAUUAUCCUGGUGCCAUGGUGUUUUAUGGAAGGCAGAACCUGCUAGUUAUAAAAUUGAAUAUUUGCCUAAGAAAAUAUUUAUACAAAAUAUUGAUAGGAUGACCUGGUUUCUCUGGACUGUUUAUAGUAAAGUGUGAGAAAAGAGAAAGAAAUUAAAUAUGAAAUUUUUCAUCAAAAGAGAAGCAAAACUUAAAUAUUUGGGAAAUCCUUGGCCUACCAAUAUUGAAAGGAAAAAGAAAGCCUGCUCAGGAGAAAACACAAAGGGUGUGGCCAAAGGACUAUCAAAUGAGAUUAUUCAAUCAUCUAAAUGGAAGCUAGGAGUUUUUGUCUAAGACAAUGGAAAAAGCCUUUCCCCCUCACCCCUGCCCCAAGGCAAUUCAGAGAUUAUCAGAGGAACCACCUGUGCCUGAGGGACCACGCUGCAUCAGCACCUCACAUCACAGGCUCUGCUCUUUGCAUCUGGUUCCAUGUUCUUCAAUCCCCCAAGCUUUGGCUUUGGCAGGCUCAGGUACCAUGUGGGCCGAAAUGGUUGCUGCUUAAGAAGACAGAGGCAUUUGACUGCAUUCAUAUGGUGCCAUUUCUGCUGCUGCACAAGUCACGGGGCUGUGGCUGCCUCCAUCUAGAUUUUGAAGGAUGGAGCUCCUCUCUUACCAGCGAUGAAGAGGGGCAGGGUUCGCUACACACAAUGGAUUGCUAUUUUCACUUUAAUUAAUUUUAUUUUAAAAUAAUUAAAAAUUAGAUAAAAUAUCUUUCAUACUUAUCACUUUAAAAUUUCUUAAAAUAUUUAUAACUUUAUGUACAUUUAACUUUUUGUCUGGGAUCAUAUGUCAUUUGCCUAAAGAAAUUUUUAAAAAUAUCUCUUUCAGUGGAAGUAACUGGUAAUGAUUUCUCUUAGCUUUAGUGUUUUAAAAUUCUUUAUUUUAUGUAAAGGCUUUUAAAGCCUAUUUAUAGAAAAUUUUAUAUAAAUGUGUAUAAAAUAACACAUAUUAAAUUAUGUAUAUAAUACAUACAUGACAUAGGCAUAUUAUGUAUCUUUUUUCUUCCCUGAAGUACUUUUAAGAUGCCACUCCAUUGUCUUCUGGCUUUCAUAUCUUCAAUUACAAGUCUACUGUAAUUCAUCUAUUUGCUUCUUUGUAUUCAUUGUGUCUUUUGUUUUUCCUCUCUAGCUUCCAUCAAGUUUUUGCCUUUAUCUUUCAUUUCCAAAAGUUUUAAUGUGGUGUCUAUAAGUGUUCUUUUUUCUUUUUUGGUAUUAUCUUGCUUGAAAUAAUCUUACUCUCUUAGAUCUACGAUUUGAUGUAUUUUGUUAGUUUUAGAAAAUGUAUUUCACCCUCAUUUUCUCUUACUUCUCCUUCUGGAAUUCCAACUUACAUCUUAGACCUUUUGAAAUUUUCCCACAGGUCUUGCAUGCUGUGUUCUUUUUUGUUUCUCCCCCUCUCUCCCUUUUCUUUAUGCUUCAGUGUGGGUUAUUUCUAUUGAUUUAUCUUUGGAUCACUGAUUUUUUCCCCUGGCCAUACUGAAUCUACAGAUGAGCCCAUCAGAUGUUUUUGUUUUCAUCUCUACUGCUUUAUUUGUUUGUUUGUUUCUUAGAUUUUUCAUUUGUCAAAAGAUUGUAGUUUCCAUGACUCUUGAAAUUUCCAAUCUGUUUAUGCAUGCUGUUUAUCUUUUCCUCCAGAAACUUUAACAUUUUAAUCACUAUUAUUUUAAAUUACCUGUUGGAAGAGUUCAACAUCUGGAUCAUCUCUGAAUCUGAUUCUAUUAAUUAUUUUGUCUCUUGAUAUUUUAUUUUUUGGCUUUAUUAUAUACCUUUCCAGUUUUGAGUAAAUAUACUUUGUGUUCAGAACACUGUAAAAGUAAGUAAAUAGCAUUCCCUUGACUUUUGGUUUCUGGGGGGUUUUUAUAUACUUGGACUAAAACACACUUUGACUUUUAUUUGUUUAAAAAUUUUAGCUGAAUUAUACGUAAGCCGCUUGUAUGAUACUCCAUGUCUUUUAUCUCAUACUUUGCCACUAAUGAACAAGUGUUUGUGUCUCACUUCUCAGUAGAAAAAAAUUGUCUUUCCUUGUAUUUUAACCUAUGUGGAUGAUCUCUAGCUUUAUGUUUUACUGGUUUAGGAAAAAAUUAUUAUUUUGUACUUUGUCCUGUACAAAGUAUAUGUAAGCCUGAAGUUGUCAGUGGCCAUCUUGUGACUGAGUAGGAAAAGCUUGCAUGAUAAUAAGGCUAAAACAAGAAUUUAGUACUGAGACAACAGAGAAAAAGAUGCAUUCCUUUUUAUUAAAGUAGGCUGAACAAUACUCUUCCUAGUUUCAUAUUUUAGGUGGAAAUGUAAACUCUCUCAUUUAUGCUUUUAAAAAAUAUUUCUGGAGAACACAUGUUGUUUCACUAACCACUCUAUGUACUAGUGUAACAAGUUUAAAAUUCCAGGUCCUCACUUCAAGAAACUCAUAGAUUUGGAGGACAAACAUAUUUCAUAUUUUAAUUCAACUUGGUAAAUGCUAUUAAGGAAAUAUGGAGCAAACAGCUAUGGAAGUAUGGAACACAGUGAACAACUGCAUACGGAAGGCAUAAAAUGGAUGAUACAGACAGUUACAUUUGAGUUGGACUUUAGAUAAGAAUUCUUAUCUCUGUUAUGAAAUAUUCAUAAAAGAAUGUUACUCAGAAGAAACAGAAUUUGAGAAUGUAAGAAACUGUAAAAAGUCUGUUAUGUCCAAGGAAUAUUUAGAAGUUUAAUGUGGCAGAAACACGGAAGCAUGGAGGAGAGGAUGUGUAUUGAGUAGGAGUCAUGUAUGGAACAGGACUUAAAAGGAAUACCAGAUGGUGUAUUUUGUUAUUAUUAUUGAUUUUUUGAUACUAUAUAUGGGAUGCACAAGUACUUGAUAAUACUUGCUGGGUAAAUAGAUGCAAGUAUAAUACGUUUAAGCUGAAUAUCUCAUUUUUCCCUCAAGGAUCAGUCUUCCCCUUUUUAUAGAACAGGUAAUUUAUGCCCAUUCUUUCUACCUUUUUUAUCUACUAGUAAUUUCCUAUUCCCAUCUCUCUUGAAUGUUAAAUUUUAAAAUUCAUUUAUAUCACAUGAAUAUCUGUAUUUGGAGCUUCUCAUGGUAAUUGAAAAAGCUGAAAAUUUUGGCUGAGAUUCUUAAAUGGUAGUGAUAGCCUGGGACUGAGGAGUGGUUUCCUCCUUUAAGAAGGUUAUGUGCAGUCCCCAUCUGGCCUGCUUCACAAUGCUGACUUUAAUUUGUAGGAUUUAGAGUUUUCUAUCUUUGCUCUGUUAUCUUCAAAAACCCCUCCUUUCUAUCUGCUUUUCGCUAUUCCCAAGCCUUAAGCAGGCCAUUUUGCCUGAGGCAUUGUACCUGCCAGGACUGUUUUUAAAUGCUCAAAAUUAAUGCCAUCCCAGAAGUUAGAGUUUACAAGACACAUUCAGGAUUUUAUUUGUCACUCAUCUGGAGAAGUGGGCAUAGCAGAUAUGGAAGGUAUUCCCUUUAUGCAUAUGUGUUAAAUAUGUACAGAAACCGAGGCCUGUAUCACAGAGCUAAUGAAUACAAAAAUUGAGCUAGAAAUUCACCUCUUUUGUCACUUAGUUGCAGACUCUUUCCUCCAAGACACCAGGUUUCAGAUUCUCAGCUAUUUUUAUGUACCUCCAACCACCACUAAGCAGUCUAUUCUUCUCAAUAGUCUCCCACCUCGCUGCCUUUCCCCAGGUUUCCACACAUUUUUGGUUUCCUUGCUCUGUCUUUCUCACUAACUUGAGGUAGCACGGAAUAAAGAGAAUGCAAGUUGUUUCUAGUAGUUUAAACAUUUCUUCUCCCCUCCAGCUCCAAAAACAAAAGCUGCUGAGUUUAUGAAUUUAAAAGUAGAAAUUAGGCCAGUAAUUAUAGCUUUGGAGUUGAGGAAUUUUCAAUGUUUUUUUUUUUUCCUAGAAUUAUCAUCUUGAAGUUGAAACCUGAAUUCCCUAUCUUCUUCUUCUAGUAUUUUCACAUGAGAACUACAAAUUUAUUUACAAAGCAUGCCUAAUAACCAUUAGCAGGAUAAGUAAGGGAAGUCAGUUGACAUAUUAUUUGAGUCUGUCUUUCAAAACAUCAUAAUACCACACAGUAUGGAUUCUCAAAGGAAUCAGAAUGUUGCCUUUUAAGCAAGACAGGUUUUUAAGAAAAGAUUUUCUCCCUUACACAGAGGAAAAUUAAAAAUUCAGACAAGAUCAACUCAAAUAGGAAUAAUGCAAAGAUUUGCCAUUUGAGUGGAAUAGGGGUCGCUCGCCUUUUAAAUAACAUUAUUUAUGAAUUUGACUUUGGCUGGUCUGUGAUUAAAUCUUUUUUUUUCCUG